This 215-nucleotide unclassified non-coding RNA is filed under the name plant metagenome. RNAcentral describes it as "partial contains small subunit ribosomal RNA, internal transcribed spacer 1, and 5.8S ribosomal RNA". The record is from RNAcentral.
UCUCCGUUGGUGGACCAGCGGAGGGAUCAUUACCGAGUUUACAACUCCCAAACCCCUGUGAACAUACCUGUUUUGUUGCUUCGGCGGUGCCCUCGCUCUCGCGGCGAGGCCCGCCAGAGGACCCAAACAAACUCUUUGACUUUGAUCUAGGAUUAUACUUCUGAGUGAUACAAAAAAUAAAAUCAAAACUUUCAACAACGGAUCUCUUGGUUCUG